AGGAUGAACGCUAGCGGCAGGCUUAACACAUGCAAGUCGAGGGGCAUCGGGAGUAGCAAUACUUGCCGGCGACCGGCGCAAGGGUGCGUAACGCGUGAGCAACAUGCCCGUAUCAGGGGGAUAAUCCAUGGAAACGUGGUCUAAUACCCCAUAGUAAUUAUGUAAGGCAUCUUAUAUAAUUUAAAGCUUUGGUGGAUACGGAUUGGCUCGCGUGACAUUAGCUAGAUGGUAAGGUAACGGCUUACCAUGGCUACGAUGUCUAGGGGUUCUGAGAGGAAGGUCCCCCACACUGGAACUGAGACACGGUCCAGACUCCUACGGGAGGCAGCAGUGAGGAAUAUUGGACAAUGGAUGGAAAUCUGAUCCAGCCAUGCCGCGUGCCAGGAAGACGGCCCUAUGGGUUGUAAACUGCUUUUGUAUGGGAGCAAUAAGGGCUACGCGUAGUCCGAUGAGAGUACCAUACGAAUAAGCACCGGCUAACUCCGUGCCAGCAGCGGC
Molecule: ribosomal RNA, 498 nt
Filed under: uncultured bacterium
Lineage: Bacteria
Description: bacterial SSU rRNA
Rfam family: Bacterial small subunit ribosomal RNA
Source: RNAcentral